RNAcentral lists this transfer-messenger RNA (351 nucleotides) under Rhizobiales bacterium 35-66-30. It matches the Rfam family "Alphaproteobacteria transfer-messenger RNA". From Rfam's summary of the family: Bacterial tmRNA, also known as 10Sa RNA or SsrA, is named for its dual tRNA and mRNA-like properties. Its role is to liberate the mRNA from a stalled ribosome. Lineage: Bacteria; Pseudomonadati; Pseudomonadota; Alphaproteobacteria; Hyphomicrobiales. The record is from RNAcentral.
CCCCUUUCAUCAUGCCGGGCCGGCGCCUAUAUUCAUCGCGCUGGCGCAAGCCAGAUAUGGCGAUAAAUGGUUGUCGGAAUAAGCCUUUCGGACCCGGGGGCAGUACCCGGCGCCUCCACCAGAACCCGUGAUUUCGCAAGGCUUUGCGGGUUGCGGCGGGGGCGAAAUAGGAUCGACGAGGGUGUAAAGGGCUUUCUUUCGCUCGGCAUGGUUCCGCCGAUAUCGGGCCGACCUAUAGUUGCGAAUGACAACUAUGCUCCGGUUGCCGUUGCCGCGUGAGCGGUAAAGGCUGCCUUCCGUAGCGCGUAAGUCUCGUCUGCAUCGGGCACCGGCCGCGAGCACCGCACCCCA